Molecule: long non-coding RNA, 1022 nt
Organism: Monomorium pharaonis (pharaoh ant)
Lineage: Eukaryota; Metazoa; Arthropoda; Insecta; Hymenoptera; Formicidae
Exons: 2
Source: RefSeq, a predicted model, not a curated record
AAACUAGUUAUUUGGUUGAUCGAAGAGUAGAAUACAAAAGUACGCGACCGGUUGUGAAUAAUCAAACGAAUCACGACGUGCGAUUAUGUGGUGAUGCGACAGGCAUUCAAAUACACUGGAUAUGCAACCUAUAAUCAAAUUUAAGGCAGAAUCAAUUUGGGAACGUUGAUAAUGGUACAAAUUUCUCUACGUUUGACGAUGUAGCAAAAGAAGCCACAUCGACUUUCGCGCUUCCAAUCGACAACAAUUAUUGUAACCGCAUUUCGUUCAACUUAAUUAAAGUUCUCGUUGAUCUCCGUAUUUGGAUUCUAUUCUACGCCGCUAUCCGCGAGAUAGCUGUGUUACGUAAUCUGUGGAUAACAAUCGCUCGCUCGUGACAGACUCUCGCGCAACUCGGAGCAAUUCACACAAGUAACAUUGUAAUAAACGUUUCUGUCAUAAGUGGAGUGUAGAUGAAACAAAAUUACACUGCGAGUACACGAUUCCGAAAUUAGCUCUACUUUACGCUAAUACUGGGACGCUUUGUAAAAUAACGUAAACUCAAAAAAAGCUAUGUGCGACGAACCUGUCAAUGUGCACUGAUGGUAAUACCGAUCACAAUACUUCUGAUUUAAACAACUUUAAGAGAACUAUCGAAUAUCGAAUUGUAUUGUGUUAGCUCGCGAUUUGAUAAGCGAUCACUCGCGCGCACUACUUGAAUGACGACUGAACUAUGAAGACUAGUCCUCGUUGAAUUUGCUACGAAAUCCUGAACAAGCCUCCCACGCAACCGACUUGUAGUGAAAGGGACAACAGAGAACAGCGCCGGAUAAGCGUACCUUCGACUCGCGUUAAAUCCUGUUCACAUCAUUGACGCGACUUGUAUUCACGCGGCAAAACGAUCUUGGCAAUGAGAGACAGAUAUCAUCUCGCGUUUUCCUCUUACCGUCUAUGUCGUUUGCCGCUAUAAAUGUCAGCAUGCAAAAGCGAACAAUGGAAAAACACGAAUAAAAAAGAAGAAAAUAAAAAUACUUAUAAUUUAA